RNAcentral lists this ribosomal RNA (286 nucleotides) under Anopheles varuna. RNAcentral's name for it is "partial 28S ribosomal RNA". It matches the Rfam family "Eukaryotic large subunit ribosomal RNA", at positions 682 to 939 of the family's 3401-position model. Lineage: Eukaryota; Metazoa; Arthropoda; Insecta; Diptera; Culicidae. The record is from RNAcentral.
GCCGUCCAGCAAACUGGUAACACCCACAGGCGAAGACAAAUCGAGUUGCGGGAUUACGGGUUCGGCCGAUGGCGCAAGCCUUCGUCGGGCCCCUCCAUCCCAGGGUGUCCCGGUACGGGUGCUUGCACCCAGCGGACAUCCCCGGAGUGCGUAUGAUGUGACCCGAAAGAUGGUGAACUAUGCCUGAUCAGGUCGAAGUCAGGGGAAACCCUGAUGGAGGACCGAAGCAAUUCUGACGUGCAAAUCGAUUGUCAGAGUUGGGCAUAGGGGCGAAAGACCAAUCGAA